This 446-nucleotide ribosomal RNA is filed under the name uncultured bacterium. Its description in RNAcentral is "partial 16S ribosomal RNA". It matches the Rfam family "Bacterial small subunit ribosomal RNA", at positions 329 to 792 of the family's 1533-position model. The record is from RNAcentral.
GACCAGACUCCUACGGGAGGCAGCAGUGGGGAAUAUUGCACAAUGGGGGAAACCCUGAUGCAGCGACGCCGCGUGAGCGAUGAAGUAUUUCGGUAUGUAAAGCUCUAUCAGCAGGGAAGAAAAUGACGGUACCUGACUAAGAAGCCCCGGCUAACUACGUGCCAGCAGCCGCGGUAAUACGUAGGGGGCAAGCGUUAUCCGGAUUUACUGGGUGUAAAGGGAGCGUAGACGGCAAUGCAAGCCAGAUGUGAAAGCCCGGGGCUCAACCCCGGGACUGCAUUUGGAACUGUGUAGCUGGAGUGUCGGAGAGGCAGGCGGAAUUCCUAGUGUAGCGGUGAAAUGCGUAGAUAUUAGGAGGAACACCAGUGGCGAAGGCGGCCUGCUGGACGAUGACUGACGUUGAGGCUCGAAAGCGUGGGGAGCAAACAGGAUUAGAUACCCGAGUA